Molecule: ribosomal RNA, 491 nt
Filed under: uncultured bacterium
Lineage: Bacteria
Description: partial 16S ribosomal RNA
Rfam family: Bacterial small subunit ribosomal RNA
Source: RNAcentral
GGUGAACGCUGGCGGUAGGCCUAACACAUGCAAGUCGAGCGGCCGCACAGUAAGCGCUUGCUCUUACGGGUGGCGGGUGGCGGGCGGGUGAGGAAUACAUCGGAAUCUACUUUUUCGUGGGGAUAACGUAGGGAACCUUACGCUAAUACCGCAUACUACCUACGGGUGAAAUCAGGUGAUCUUCGGACCUUUUGCGGUCGCAUGAGCCGAUGUCGGAUUAGCUAGUUGGCGGGGUAAAGGCCCACCAAGGCGACGAUCCGUAGCUGGUCUGAGAGGAUGAUCGGCCACACUGGAACUGAGACACGGUCCAGACUCCUACGGGAGGCAGCAGUGGGGAAUAUUGGGCAAUGGGCGCAAGCCUGAUCCAGCCAUACCGCGUGGGUGAAGAAGGCCUUCGGGUUGUAAAGCCCUUUUGUUGGGAAAGAAAAGCAGCAGGUGAAUACCCCGCUGUUCUGACGGUACCCAAAGAAUAAGCACCGGCUGACUUCGUG